This 1023-nucleotide long non-coding RNA is filed under the name Salmo salar (Atlantic salmon). Its description in RNAcentral is "lncRNA (ENSSSAG00000009599.2)". Lineage: Eukaryota; Metazoa; Chordata; Actinopteri; Salmoniformes; Salmonidae. The record is from RNAcentral.
CUGGCAGGGAGUGUGCAAGUGCACACUUUGGGAAGAGAGUGGAUGAUUGGGAUGCAACCUAUCGUCCUCAGUAAAUAUGGGUGGGUCUUGUAGUCUUGACUAGCCCAGGUCAGAUGGUUGUUUGUCAGCUGAGUCACGUACCAGAUGUAAGCCGCACAAGUGUAGAAGUUGGACAAGAUGCUUCUAAACCGAACGGGGUGACUGGACCUGGUGGCACGGCAAACAGUGUUGAGGACCGUGAAGAGAAUGAGAGCUCCGAUGAAGGUGUGAGAAAAAGAAUCGUUCCUCCACCUCCUCCUCCUGCUGCUCCACAACAAAGGUCACGGAAGUUAGUUGGGCCAGCAGGUGGUAACCGAAGAAAGGCAGCAGCACCAAAACAGAAGAGGAGAUCACGGCCCUCUCGUCAUCAAUCCUGAAACGCCACAAAGACACACAAAGGCAAACAUUUAAUUUUAGUGAUUACGUAGAAAAAACCCAUGUUGUAUCUUAUUACUGUCUAUGCCAUAACAUGGACGUGUACAGAACCGUACGCACAUGAUGAAACUGUUUUGCUGUAUCUUGGGCUGUAAAACAAAGUCAGCAUGACAUGGCAUAUUGUUUACUUUAACACCUGUGGAACAACUCAGUGGUAGGUUCAACACAAACUCAUGGGCCUUUCUCUGUGAAUAAAAUAUACCAUUGCAUUUACCAUUUAAUGUGAUGACAUGACAACAGGCCCAAAAACACCAGUCUGAGACCAGUUCACGCAUCCAUUAAAAUCCAGGAUGAGGCAUGCUUUUUGCAGCAUCAUGACUUGACACUGACCUUAAGAGCCAAUGAAACUGCUCUAAAUUCACCAACCUGUUUCAAAAUGGAAAGGAUUUCACUCCCAUGAAAAUAAACUAAGCAACAACAAAAACAUCCUCUCACUGUCAACUGCGUUUAUUUUCAGCAAACUUAACAUGUGUAAAUAUUUGUAUGAACAUAACAAGAUUCAACAACUGAGACAUAAACUGAACAAGUUCCACAGACAUGUGACUAACA